AGGAAAGAAAUCCAAAUUUGGAAGGUGACUUCUGGAGUAGCUGUUCAAGUUUGUUUCGUUGUGCAUAUGGAGCAUCUGUAGGAUAUAAAUUUAGGACACUGCACAUUAUUACAGAAGUUGACCACGGAAAUCAUGGGGUAUGUGAACAAAUACCUAAAAGAUGGGCAUGAUGGCUAUAGGAGGAUUUCACUCAAAUUAAAUAAGUUCAACUUUAACUGCUUGCUGUGGAAGAUAGAGCCAUUAAAUUUUGAAGGUAAAAU
RNAcentral lists this long non-coding RNA (260 nucleotides) under Homo sapiens (human). RNAcentral describes it as "HSALNT0063424". The record is from RNAcentral. Lineage: Eukaryota; Metazoa; Chordata; Mammalia; Primates; Hominidae.